Molecule: small RNA, 108 nt
Filed under: Ictidomys tridecemlineatus (thirteen-lined ground squirrel)
Lineage: Eukaryota; Metazoa; Chordata; Mammalia; Rodentia; Sciuridae
Description: Rhabdomyosarcoma 2 associated transcript conserved region 10 (ENSSTOG00000032303.1)
Rfam family: Rhabdomyosarcoma 2 associated transcript conserved region 10
Source: RNAcentral
AGGUCUUACUGUUGAGGUCUUACUUCUGAAACAGAGAAGAAUUAAACAAGUCAGAUUUACCUUCUUGGAAAUGUGGUCCAGAUUUCUCUACUCCCAAGCUCUAAAAAA